Molecule: RNA transcript, 6940 nt
Organism: Eriocheir sinensis (Chinese mitten crab)
Lineage: Eukaryota; Metazoa; Arthropoda; Malacostraca; Decapoda; Varunidae
Gene: IleRS-m
Gene name: isoleucine--tRNA ligase, mitochondrial-like
Exons: 22
Source: RefSeq, a predicted model, not a curated record
UGAGACCAAGACCAAGACCAACACGUGUGACGGCGGGCAGAGCAUCUCUAUUUUUCUCCUCUUUUAAGCCUCAAAACGCGUAAAUAUAAAAAAAUAACUACACAUUGGAGUCCAUGAAUGCCUGAGCUAAGUUAUCACAUGUCUUGCACGGCGUGAUAAACUUGACGGAUGGAAAUUUGGCCAUAACCGGUAUUAUGACGAAGGUUAUAGGCCGGGUCACACGAGUAUUUACGUCGGCAAUUUUUGACGCGGGUACUUUUUCACGCCGGUGAUUUUGCCUCCGGGCGCGUUUAGGUAUAUAUGCAGAGCGGCAGCAGGUAAAGGCAAUUAAGAGAUUAGCAAGGCAGUUAAAUCUUCUUUGAUGUCUUGCCGCCAGCUGCACUUUUGGUGAUUGGAAUUCUUUGAAGGGGUGUGUGUAGUUGCAUGUGUAUUUGUCUGUGUGUACAUAUGUGUGUGUGUGUUGGGGGGGGGGAGUGUAUCUCUCAUACACGCUAAAAGUAAUAACGUAAAGGUGUAUAAAGUCCAUUGAAAAGGAGAGAGAGAGAGAGAGAGAGAGAGAGAGAGAGAGGCAGAAUAGGAAAAGGAUUAGGGGGAUUAGAAGGGAAAAAGGGGGAGGAGGAAGAGCUGAAGCGUUCUCAGUAUCGAGAAUGCAAGACGCGCAUGUUCGUCUUCCUCCAUAUCGAGAACACAAACCGUGUUUUGGACUUGCCGGUGCUGCCGAUGGCAAAAUUCUCGAGAUCGAUGAUAAAAUUGCCAAAAUAAAUGCUCGUGUGACCAGCAGAAGAUGUUACUCUAUCAAUAGACAGAAGAAACCAUUUAUUUCCUGAAGGUUUUAAGGUUAAUAGAAUACAUAUGACAACAGAAGAGCAGUUGAUCAAGUAGGAGACAAGGAAGAAGAGAAGGAGAAAGAAAGAAACUAAUGUGAGCAGGAUAGGAAGAGUUCACCUUAUCAAUAUUCAGUAUAUGGAAGGAAGAAAAGAAGAACAGUCAAGCACAUCGGAAUAAAAACAAAACAAGCGUAAGGAGGAGGAAGAGAGGGAGAAAGACUAAUGUAAGAAAGGAAAAGUUCACCUUAUCAGUAUUCAGUAUAUGGAAGGAAGAAAAGAAGAACAGUCAAGCACAUAGGAAAAGAAAAUCAAGUGUAAGUAGAUGGAAAGAAGAGCAGUCAAGCACAUAAGAAUGGAAAAUCAAGUGUAAUUAGGAAGAGAGGAAGAAAGACGUGAAACUACCCAUCAGUCAGCCAUGCCACCAUACAGCGCCGCUACAUGUGUGACUGCUGCUGUUUUGUCGCCUCGCUGCAGCAGAUGGAGGACCAUCGGCCACACUUUGCGGCAGAGAACAUUUUACAGCACAAAGGGAGAUCAGAAGAAGGGUAAAACUGAGCCAUCCACUAGCUAUUCAGCCACAAUCCAGCUGCCCCGCACCACUUUCCCUCUUAGAGUGUCAGCUGCCUCCAGGACACAGCUAGAGGCAUCUGUGCAGCAGGCUGCCGGCUUUGAUUCACUCUAUGCAUGGCAACGGGGACAGGACCGAAAAAAGGAGUACGUGCUGCAUGAUGGUCCACCUUAUGCUAAUGGCCGCCCUCACAUCGGUCAUGCACUCAAUAAAAUCCUGAAAGACAUCACACUGAGGCAGAAGUUGCUGCAAGGUUAUAAAGUGCAUUAUGUUCCUGGCUGGGAUUGCCACGGCCUCCCCAUUGAGCUCAAGGCCACACAGCAGACAGGCAAGGAACAGAGCAAAGCAGCAGGUCAGCAAUCAUCAGCAUCUUUGACCAAUCCCCUGGAUAUCAGGAUUAAUGCGAGAAAGUUUGCCGAGGAGACCUUGGAGGUGCAACGUUCGGUGUUCCAACGCUGGGGCCUCAUGGCUGACUGGGGCAACAUAUACCGCACGGUGGACCCUCACUACAUCACCCGUCAACUCCAUCUUUUUACAGACCUCUACGAAAAAGGAUAUAUUUACCAGGACUACAAGCCUGUGUACUUCUCCCCCAGCCUUCAAACAUCCCUUGCUGAGUCAGAACUAGAGUACCAGCCACAGCACGUCAGUCCAUCCGUGUUUGUUGCCUUGCCUGUCACUUCUGCCUUGCCGGCCACUGUGGACAGAUUGCCCAGCCCUGCAGAGUCCCAGCUCUACCUACCCAUCUGGACUACCACACCCUGGACUUUGCCACUUAACCAGGCCAUAUGCUUUGCACCUGAGAAGAGUUACCUCCUGACAUGGGUGAAGUGGGGAGAGCAGAACUUGGCAUUAGUCUGGAGUAAAGAGCUUCUGCAUGAACUGGAGAGAAUAGUUGGAAAGGAUCACCUAACUGUCUUGGGUCACCUUGAAGAGGAGGAGCUGACUUCCAUUAUGUACCGAGCACCCUUGGGCAAGCAGGAGUGUCCUUGUUUGCCAGCCAAGCACGUUACAAUGGCCAAAGGUACUGGCCUUGUCCACACAGCCCCAGCCCAUGGCCAUGAUGACUUCCUGGUGGCCUUACAGUACAAACUCCCUGUGGAGUGCUGGGUGGAUGAGGAAGGGAAGUACAUGGAUGGGGCUGGACCAGGACUCGCUGGAUUACCAGUAUUGGAUGAAGGCAACAACACGGUCCUCCAGCUUCUUAAGAGCACAGAGGGUCCUGGGGGGCCUUCACUGCUGCUGGAGGAGGAGUGCUACACACACUCCUACCCUUAUGACUGGCGAACACAAAAACCUGUCAUCAUCAGAGCCACCAAGCAGUGGUUCUUGAAUACUGAACGUGUCAAGGAGGCGGCCCUGGCUGCCCUGGAGGAGGUUGAAAUACUUCCUCAGCGGCUGGAGGCAGGGAUGGUCCGGCAGCUGCAGAGUCGUCCCUACUGGUGCAUCUCCCGCCAGAGAGUGUGGGGCACACCCAUCCCUGUGUUUUAUGACCCUAAAACCAGCCACCCCAUAGUGGAACGAAGCAUCAUAGAGCAUGUGGCUGGAGUGUUAGAGAGGGAAGGAAGUGAUAGUUGGUGGAAUAAAGGCGAGGAGGAAUUACUUCCCCCAGCAUUUGUAGAGAAAUUGAAAAAAAAUGGCAAGCCUCUGCCCAAGAAGGGGUCCGAUAUCCUGGACAUCUGGUUUGACUCGGGGUCUUCAUGGCAUUGCGUCCUGGGGGCACCAAGAGCUGACUUGUAUCUGGAAGGGGUGGACCAGUUCAAUGGGUGGUUUCUCUCCUCUCUGCUUACCUCUGUAGCUGCCACCGGAAAGGCUCCUUACAGAAUGCUCUAUGUACAUGGGUUUGCCCUAGAUGACCAAGGUCGCAAAAUGAGCAAGUCCCUGGGUAAUGUGGUGGAUCCAGAGAUAGUGACUGAUGGUGGCAGCAACCUGUCCAAGGAUCCUGCAUAUGGGGCUGAUGUGUUGAGGUGGUGGGUUGGCAGCCAUGCAGCUGACCACUCCACUAUGAGUAUUGGGCGGCAGCACUUGGAACAAGGGAAGGAUAGUGUGCAGAAGAUACGGGCUGUGCUGAGGUUUCUCCUCUCCUCACUUGGAGACUACCAGCCUUGCCAGCACAGCCUCCCUGUCUCGGACCUGAGACCCAUUGACCGCUACAUGCUCCAUCUUCUUCAUGGUCACACUCAAAAGGUCUGGAUGCACUACAACAAUUUCCGAUACAAUUGGGUGACCAAAGUGUCACUGGCAUUCAUCAACACCACCAUCUCAGGUUUCUACAUAUCCUCCAUUAGAGACAGGUUGUACUGUGAUGCUCAGCUCAGCAGCAAACGGAUGUCAGUCCUGCUGGUCCUCCACCACCUGCUACACCAGCUGUUGCUGUCUUUGGGCCCUAUUCUUCCCCAUCUAGCAGAGGAAGUAGCACAACACCUUAAUAACAACAAUGAUUGGAGAGUGUUUCAUCAGGUGACUGUUGAGCCACCCUCAUCCUGGCAUCAGCCUGAACUUGCUAGUAGAUUUGAACGAUGCCUCAGUGUGCGUGAAGAAUUCUUUCGCUCCUCUCCUGACGCGGACUGGGCCAAGCUGCAGGUUCACAUCUCGGCUGGAGAGAGGCUAAUGGAGGAUCUUCAGUUGCUACAGACCAGCAAAGCAUCUUACCAGUCUGGCUUGUGUGAGCUUUUACAAGUGUCACAUGUCACACUAGAACCUUGUCAAGAGAAUGAAGAGAAUUUUACACUAAAAGUUUCCAAGGCUAAGGGAGGCAAAUGUCUGAGGUGUCGGCGAUACACAGCCCAAGGAGGAGCAGAGCUUUGCUCCCGCUGUCAGGACGUCCUCUCCUCACAGGGAUGAUGAAUGGGUGCAGCUUCAACAGCAGGUUACCAUGGGAGUCAACAACAAGCAACUGAGAAGAGGUCACAGUAGCUGAGUACACCAAACCUGCAGAUCUCUAGCCACCGAUCUGAUGGAGAGCAGAAGGGUCACUACCACUUCCCGUUGGCCCACACAAUCAGGCCAAUCACCAGGGCAAUCGACAGACCAAUAAGAGUCAGGACAACAAUCUUCUGUUUUGACUUUUCCUGAGGCAGACAUAACAAACAUUAUUCAUGAAUUUCAUCCACAAGAUGGGGGCCCUUUGACCUCAGCACCCAUCAGGGGCAUCAAGAAGGCCCAGAAGUUAAGUUUUUUGGGGUGUGUUUCACAUAAACUGUAUAAAAAGUUAUGCUUUUUAUUAUUAAAUCAUAGAAGGGAAGUCCACUAGGGGUGGUAAACUGUCUAUAAUAAUGUGCUUUCAGUGAUCCUACUUCAAUAUUCCGUACUCGCUCUACCGAUGGUCAUAUAGUCUUCAACUUAACGUCAAAGGACAGUUAAGGAUAUGUACUUUACAAUGAUACUUUAUUCAGUCACGUGAGUUAAGUAGGAGUGAAGGUAUGAAAGGUUGAAGUGAGGUAUGAUUUUGCCUGAAUAUGCCUGCUUGGGAGGACAGGCAUGGCAAAACAAGCCCACGCUUUAACGGUUAACGACAACAAACAUGGGCCUAUUUACAAUGCAAAAGAAAAUUUCCCAGCUAUUUAGUGUCAUUGUGUUCACAAAAAAUGACAAUAAUUGUCUUAUUCUCUUUGAAAAAUCAAGUGAUAAUGAUAGGUAUAUGUUUGAGAGAGAGAGAGAGAGAGAGAGAGAGAGAGAGAGAGAGAGAGAGAAAUUUACAUAGAAAAUCAGACCACAGACCCCAUGGUCCAGACUAGGUGGUCUGUCCUUAAACCUAAGUGAUUCUACAUUAAUCAGAAGGCUCCAAAACAAUGCAUUUCAACUCUAGUUGAUAUUAAGUUGAAGGAAGUGACGGUCAAGCUUGUUUUUGGAGUCAAUCGUGUUACACUGGACCACUGACGUUGGGAGCUUAUUCCAUUCUCACACUACAACGUUAGUGAAGAAAAAUUUGGUGCAGUCUGAAUUUACUUGUCUACAUUUGAGUUUUACACCAUUGUUCCUCGUACGCAAAGUGUCAUCGAUCAUAAACAAUGUUGAUCUGUCUACAUUCAUGAAACCAUUAAGUAUUUUAAAACAUUCGAUCAGUUUUCCUCAGAGGCAACGUUUCUCAAGAGAGAACAUGUUAAGGGUGGAAAGCCUUUCUUCGUAGGAUUUGUUGUGCAAGGAAGGGAUCAUUUUUGUUGCCCGACGCUGAACACCUUCUAAUUUAGCAAUGUCCUUUGCAUGGUGGGGAGACCAAAAUUGUACCACAUAUUCCAAGUGGAGUCUGACUAAACUAUUGUAGAGUGGAAGUAUUACAUCUUUAUUCUUGAAUAAAAAGUUUCUUUUAAUGAAGCCCAACAUACUGUUCGCUUUAUUUGCUGCAUCGAUGCAUUGCUGUGAGAAUUUGAGGUUUGACGCGAUUUUGACCCCCAAGUCCUUAACGCAUUGAACGCUUUUGAGUUUAACGCCGUGCAUUUCGUAAUUGAACUUCUUAUUCCUUGUUUCAACUUGAAGGACCUGGCACUUAUCUACAUUAAAGGGCAUCUCCCAUCUAUCAGAGAGAGAGAGAGAGAGAGAGAGAGAGAGAUUGAUUCACAAUCUAAAUGACCUGUUUGCAUUUGAUGCCUAUUACCACCAGAUUUUUAAAUUUCUCUCAAAUUUAAGGUGGAGGAGAGGGACUUAGCUUGUUUUCAAUGAUAAUUUGCAAUGAGAAUUCAGCACCCACAAAAUAACAUUGAGAGCAAUUGUGCAAAGCUGCAAAUAGUGAACCUAUGAAUUCAGGGGACAAGUGUGCUGUUCAUACUUCCUUGCAGAAUAAUCAUUGCAGAAUAAUCAUUUACAUAAUGAGAGGUUUUAUUUUAUAACACGAUAAAAAUAGCUCCAUUAUGCCAAAGAAAGUACAAAUCUAUUAUAUAGACAUGUCUUAAUAUUAUCUUACAUUUCUAUAGCAAUCAAAGUCAAAUUCUCUUUGCGGAUUGGCACUGAAAAAUAGCUGUCACCCCCUCUGUCCUUGAAGUUAAGAGAUAAUUGAAAUGCUGAUGGUAAUAGGCAUCAAAACACCCUACUGUGAACACGGAAAUUCCAUGGAAACUAGUCAAGGUUGUCAAUAUAAAAACACCAGUAUAACCAAACCCUAAGUAAGUGCCACAAUGUACAGUAUCUUUGUCACACAAACAAAUUAUGUUGGGGUUUCUUUUACACGUAGCUCCAUUAAUCUGUUGGGUGGAGUUUCCCCUUUUCCAAACUUUUCUCAUAUCGUAGGAUUGUGCAGUCACAACAAAAUGAAACAAAACAGAAAUAAUCUAAGGUCAUUUUUAAGAACUUAAAUAGAAAACAAGGAAUGUCAGGCAUGCUUCCUAAGCCUAUAAUGCUUGUACUUUUCGACAUAAUUUUGGUACACAAUUUACGUGUCUAAUUUAUCAUUAUGAUAUUAAACAGGUUUUCAUUUAAUCUUAGUUAUAAGUCUGAACACUAAUUGAAAUUUAGUAUGUAUCAUCUCAAUGAAUACACAAGACAUGAAAACUUACCUUAAUUUUUAGUUGAUAGGACAAUUAUGAGAAUAAGAACUGUCAGUACCACUAAA